RNA transcript from Gossypium arboreum, 611 nucleotides. RefSeq lists it as uncharacterized. Lineage: Eukaryota; Viridiplantae; Streptophyta; Magnoliopsida; Malvales; Malvaceae. The record is from RefSeq and is a predicted model, not a curated record. The transcript has 4 exons.
CGCCGUUCCUUUAAUUUAUGAAACCUAUUUUCUUUGAUCUUAAAAUCCCCUAUAUCAGAACCUUAAAAAAACUAAAGAAAUGGGAGCAAGUAAAUGAGAGCAGGUUGCGGCCAUGCCCGAUUGUCCACCAUCGCAUCACCAUUCAAUCUGGUGGUCAUCAAUGCGCAAAGAGAGUCCCAGUCCGUUGCAGGUAUGUAUGGCGUGGAGAAGCCGUCCGUGAGCGUGUCGACAUUGAGCAUGAAGGCCACUGGUGGCUACAGCUGUGGCGCAAAACAGAUGGGAAACCCUAGGGUUUUCGAAAACUAUAAAAAACUCGGGCCUAUCGGGCUUGAUUUCUCAUUCAGAUCAAGAAGAAUGAAAUUCGGGGUUAGACCGAGGAAAGAAAAAGGUUGAGGACUAAAUCAAAAUAUUUGAUCGUAUUUUGUAUCGAGUAUUGUAAAGCCAACUCAAAAAAUUGUAAGGACAUCGGAGAUCGCCUCGCACUAUCAACGAGUUAUCUCGGUAUUUUGUGACUAGAAGUACUUUAAGUUAUGGCAUGUUUAGGGACUUGGCUAUUUUGUAUGUAUGUCCUUAUGAUAUGAUUAAAGAAUGGAAUGUGUAAUACUUGGUAA